RNAcentral lists this ribosomal RNA (523 nucleotides) under uncultured bacterium. RNAcentral's name for it is "partial 16S ribosomal RNA". It matches the Rfam family "Bacterial small subunit ribosomal RNA", at positions 28 to 523 of the family's 1533-position model. The record is from RNAcentral.
GACGAACGCUGGCGGCGUGCCUAGUACAUGCAAGUCGAACGCUUUUUCUUUCACCGGAGCUUGCUCCACCGAAAGAAAAAGAGUGGCGAACGGGUGAGUAACACGUGGGUAACCUGCCCAUCAGAAGGGGAUAACACUUGGAAACAGGUGCUAAUACCGUAUAACACUAUUUUCCGCAUGGAAGAAAGUUGAAAGGCGCUUUUGCGUCACUGAUGGAUGGACCCGCGGUGCAUUAGCUAGUUGGUGAGGUAACGGCUCACCAAGGCAACGAUGCAUGGCCGACCUGAGAGGGUGAUCGGCCACACUGGGACUGGGAAACGGCCCAGACUCCUACGGGAGGCAGCAGUAGGGAAUCUUCGGCAAUGGACGAAAGUCUGACCGAGCAACGCCGCGUGAGUGAAGAAGGUUUUCGGAUCGUAAAACUCUGUUGUUAGAGAAGAACAAGGAUGAGAGUAGAACGUUCAUCCCUUGACGGUAUCUAACCAGAAAGCCACGGCUAACUACGUGCCAGCCGCCGCCGUAA